Molecule: ribosomal RNA, 513 nt
Filed under: Triticum aestivum (bread wheat)
Lineage: Eukaryota; Viridiplantae; Streptophyta; Magnoliopsida; Poales; Poaceae
Description: partial small subunit ribosomal RNA
Source: RNAcentral
AUGGCCGUGAAGGGAGGGAAAGAGCCGCCGAAAUUGAUAAAAGAUGAGCUAAAACAGUUGUCCACUAUCCCCAAACAAAUUGAAGAGUGGAAGAGAUCAGCUGCCCAAGCUAGCGCCUUGAUGUCACUGAGUCAUGCCAAAGCUUAUUGGCCAGAGAUGGAGCCGGCUGAAAUGUCUGGCGGGUUUGCUGAGUUUAACCUUGACGGCAAUCAAUUUACUUUAGCGAACUAUGCUCGAUGCGUAAAGGAGACUCAUGUCCUGGCGAGUCAAGUAGGUGGCGAGUUGGACUUGAGAAAAUAUCAACCAACCUAUGACGAGGGGAACACAUGGGUGAAGCCGCAAACAUUUGAGCCGUUUGACAUAACUCCCACACGGCGUAAGCAUUACUUUGCUCCUGAUGUUGAUCUGUCAGUUAUCAUUCAAGACGACGCCAUUUUUCCAACAAUUAACAACCAUCGAACGGGACCUGGACAAUAUUCAGAUCAGCGAAGAAGAAGGGCCGACAUAGGAUAA